GCCAACAAAACAAAUCCCAAAAGGAAGCCCGUCACAAAUCCACCGAUAUGAGCAAAGUUAUCGGCAUGAGGUAGUAUCCCAAUAGCCAAGUUGAUUGCGAUUAUAAAUAGAAGAGUUAUUAUGGCUGCUGCCUUGUUGGAAUAAAUAGUCCAGUUCAUAAUAAGCUCAGAAAGCAUUGAUCCAAGCAGUCCAAAUAAAGCUCCAGAGGCUCCAACAGAGAUGUAGUUAUUACGAAGGAAAA
RNAcentral lists this unclassified non-coding RNA (241 nucleotides) under Hevea brasiliensis (rubber tree). The record is from RNAcentral. Lineage: Eukaryota; Viridiplantae; Streptophyta; Magnoliopsida; Malpighiales; Euphorbiaceae.